GCGGCAGUUCCGGAAAGUGCGUGACCUCCUAAGUCACUGCAAGGGUGUUCGAGUCACCUCUGUCGCAC
RNAcentral lists this transfer RNA (68 nucleotides) under Mycobacterium phage Nanosmite. RNAcentral describes it as "tRNA-Arg". The record is from RNAcentral. Lineage: Duplodnaviria; Heunggongvirae; Uroviricota; Caudoviricetes; Vilmaviridae.